AGCAUAAAGGAAAAUAAGGCAAACUGCAAGUUGUUCCUGGAAUGGAAAACUUACUGUUCUGAGGUAACAUGACUCAAUUCCAUCCAUAUCUGUGUCACCAUUAACAGGAAUUUGGAAUUUACUUUGAGCAACCUGAGCUUCUUUAUCUGCUUCUUACCUCAGCAACAAAAUCAAAAUGCACAUAUCCACUUGGAUGAGUGCACCUGUACCUCAUAACCCGACUGUGAAAAUUAGAAGCCUUAAUAUUCAUAAUUAACUCUUAAUCUUUAAAGUACUUCUUAGAGCAACUAAACCACUAUAUAAAACCUCCACCGGCUCAAUUGUAGGUCAAUCCCAUACAACUUACAAGUGACACCAAUACCUAUUAUUCAUAAAAAGAUCAUAGUCCUAACAUAUUUAGGAAGAGUAAAUUUGGGCCCUACAGAAUUUAAUCUCAAUUUGUAUUUAUACAAUCUUUACAUUGCUAAAUAGAUUUUUGGUAUUGCUGGAAGAGUAACAUUGACAUUAUGUCUACCAGGAAUUUGUUUGUCUGGAGAGGUGAGAAGACUUGAAAUGAUUGCUUUAUGAUGAUAAAUCCUUCAGUACUGGAAAUAGGGCUGUAUGCAGUUGAGAAGGGAACUGGCUGGACAUCUCUUAGAAAACACUAGUGUUGGACCUUUAGCGGGGGAUAACUUUUACACACUGCUGUCUUAAUGGGUCUUAGCACAAAGUGAGUGCUCAUAAAUAUUUAGAGCUGUAUUUUAUGUCUUCCUUUACUAAACAGAGUUAGUGAAGCCAAAAUAAGAUGCUGUCUACAUCUUAUUUUAAGAAUCACAUGUAGCAACUGCUAGUUGUCGAAACCAUUUGUUACAUAGAGAUAUCAUCAAAAUCAUGUAAGCUUCAGCAAUGAACACAUCUUACUAACCCACAACAAAUUCACUGAAUUGAAAGAGAUAUUUAUAGCCUAAGUGCUGACCCCAGUGUGUGUCAGGCCAUGUGAAGAUGGCUGAACAGUAUUUGGGAUUUCAGUGUCCAACAAACUAUGGAAUUUACAAAGACUUUAUGAAAGGCUGUGGAGGCCAGCUGUUUAAGGAAGGAAACUAUUCUGCAGCUCUAGAGAAAAAGCAAGUGUGUGAACAGUGGUCAAGGGCUGGCCUGGAACUCACUAUACUUCAAAAUUGUAUGAGUCCUUCUGCCUCUGAACUUGAAUGCUGGAUUCACAGGUAUAUGACUUUAUGGUUGUCUCUUUCUCUGUUUAAAUAGUGAAGCAUCAUUGGCUAAAGUGGCUUAGUGGUUAAGAGCACUUUUCCCUGCAGACAACCUGAGAUGAGUUCCUAGCACCUAUAUGGUAUGCCUUACAUCUCCCUGUAACUCCACUUACAGGGGCCCAUUAUCAUCUUCUGACCUUUGUACACGCACCUGUAAAUACAUUUAAAACAUGGGUUAUCUUUUAAAUUUUCAAUUGUAUAGGACAUUUAUAUAUCUUACACAUAAAUUUCUUACCAGAUACAUGAUUUUCAAAUAGUUUCUUACACUUGGUGGCUUAGCUUUGCCCUUUUUCGACAACAUCUUUUCAGAUACCGUAGUGCAUAAUGCUGAUAGUGUCUAGUAUUUCCUUUAGUUUCUAUCUAAUAUUGCUUCCUUCUAAAAGUAGUAAUAUUUUAAAUCCUACAUGUAUGUGCUAUAUUUUGAGUUAAUUUUGCAUGUAAGAAUCUGAAAGAUGUCCAACUUUGCUCUCUUUUUUUAAAAAUCAGGACACUGGGUGUAUCUAUUUUUUAUUAGCAUAUUGCAAGAUAAUGUGUUUCACUGUGGUUUCACUGAGUUUUGCAUGAAGUUAUGCCUUCCCCAUCCACUGUGAGUCAAGACAGACAGACAUGGUAACAGAAAGAGACACAGCAAAGAAAUGACUCUGAAAUCUCCCAGUGUCUAAGAGUCAAGAAUUUCAGCACAACUAACAAAAACAUGCUGUGAAUACUACCUCCAAACAGACAAUAGUCUUUUUUCCCAAUAGAUAUGCUUCAAAUAAGCGUGUCAGAAUGGUAGGAACCACAUUAGAAAGAAAGCAUAAGUCACCAUGUUAUUUAACCUUCUCUUUCAUCCACAAACAGUUUCUGAGAACACCACAAUCAAGAUUAGACAUGUUUAUAGCUACAACAUAGGCAGAGAACUUCCUGGUGACUUCUCACUGUGUACACCUGAUACAAUGCACCCCAGAAAUCAAACACCUUAUGACCUACUUAUUACAGAAAUUUCUUGAGAUAAAACCAUUCAAAAAUUUUAAAUCCUUUGAGCAGUGUAAGCUCCAAAAUCUUGUAAGCUAGAGAGAUGGCUCAGAGGUUAAGAGUACUGGUUACUCUUGCAGAAAAUCUAGGUUUAGUUCCCAGCAUCCACAAGGCAGAUCACAACCAUCUAUAACUCCAGUUUCAGAGGAUCUGAUGACCUCUCUUGGCCUCCACUAGAACUUCAUGCAUACGGUGCAGAAACAUACAUGCAGCAAAACAGGCAUACACUUAAAAUAUAAAUACAUAAAUCAACUUCUUGAAUAAUAGUGUAAGUGUUGUAGAGACACUUGAUGUACCUCUUUUGUCAGGUCAUGCUUCGCUGUAGGAAGUGUAUCACCACUAUACCCCAAUACCCGUGCUUAAAUUCAAUUCAUAUUUUUAAAAAAAUAAUUCCAACUUUGUUUGUUAUUGACUCAUCCUGAUGUGUUUUGUCUGCAGUGGAAAUCAAGAUCAUCAGCUUCACCAGUGUUGAAGUUCACUCAGGCUGAUACAACUGGUUGUGCAGAGCAAUUUCUCCUGCUGCCACUGAAAUCUGAUAAACCUACCUUAUACUCCAUCACCAAACCCUGUUGACGAAUUAGGAUAGCCUGCAACACUGUAGUCUUGCUUGAAAAUCCAUCACCUCGGACUUUUGGGAUUUUUCUUUUCAUGUCACUAACCUCAUGGAUGCCUGAGAAAUGACUUGUGGAAACUCCCUGGCUGUGGCUGCUGAAAAGAAUCCAAGUAUCGAAUUACAUGAAAUGAAAAAACAUGUUAAGGAUCGGUUUCGUUUUCCUGGAUACGGGUGUAGUUCCUAGAACCAGUGUAAAUAAAUGCUAAGCACUCCACCACC
Molecule: non-coding RNA, 3093 nt
Organism: Myodes glareolus (Bank vole)
Lineage: Eukaryota; Metazoa; Chordata; Mammalia; Rodentia; Cricetidae
Source: RefSeq, a predicted model, not a curated record